UACGUAGGGGGCGAGCGUUGCCCGAAUUUACUGGGCGUAAAGCGCACGUAGGCGGCUCCGUAAGUCUGGUGUGAAAUCUCACGGCUCAACCGGGAGGCUGCACCAGAUACUGCGAAGAUCGAGGACGGGAGAGGAGAUUCGGAAUUCCCGGUGUAGCGGUGAAAUGCAUUGAUAUCGGGAGGAACACCAGUGGCGAAGGCGGAUCUCUGGCCCGUUGCUGACGCUGAGGUGCGAAAGCUGGGGGAGCGAAAGGG
This 254-nucleotide ribosomal RNA is filed under the name uncultured bacterium. Its description in RNAcentral is "partial 16S ribosomal RNA". It matches the Rfam family "Bacterial small subunit ribosomal RNA", at positions 524 to 776 of the family's 1533-position model. The record is from RNAcentral.